This 445-nucleotide ribosomal RNA is filed under the name uncultured bacterium. RNAcentral describes it as "bacterial SSU rRNA". It matches the Rfam family "Bacterial small subunit ribosomal RNA", at positions 354 to 796 of the family's 1533-position model. The record is from RNAcentral.
GUGAGGAAUAUUGCGCAAUGGAGGCAACUCUGACGCAGCCAUGCCGCGUGCAGGAAGAAGGCGCUACGCGUUGUAAACUGCUUUUAACCGGGAAGAAACCCCAGGACGUGUCCUGGGUUGACGGUACCGGAGGAAUAAGCACCGGCUAACUUCGUGCCAGCAGCCGCGGUAAUACGAAGGGUGCAAGCGUUAUCCGGAUUCAUUGGGUUUAAAGGGUGCGUAGGCGGAGCGUUAAGUCAGUGGUGAAAUCCUGCAGCUUAACUGUAGACUUGCCAUUGAUACUGGCGCGCUUGAGUGCGCUUGAAGUGGGCGGAAUGUGCCGUGUAGCGGUGAAAUGCUUAGAUAUGGCACAGAACACCAAUUGCGAAGGCAGCUCACUAAGGCGAUACUGACGCUGAGGCACGAAAGCGUGGGGAUCGAACAGGAUUAGAUACCCGGGUAGUCC